Molecule: ribosomal RNA, 335 nt
Filed under: uncultured eukaryote
Lineage: Eukaryota
Description: partial 18S ribosomal RNA
Rfam family: Eukaryotic small subunit ribosomal RNA
Source: RNAcentral
CCCUUAGAUGUUCUGGACUGCACGCGCGCUACACUGUUCACUUUGAAAUGAAAGGAUAACCUUGGCCAAAUUGGCUCGGGUAAUCACUUAAAAGUGGAGUGCGUUAAGGGGAUCGAGUGUUGUAAGUUGCACUCGUGAACCAGGAAUUCCUCGUACUUAGGAGUCAACAACUCCUAGGGAUUACGUCCCUGCCCUUUGUACACACCGCCCGUCGCUACUACUGAUUGAAUGGUGAAGCAAGACUUGCGGAACUGGGUCUUCGAGACUUCGGUCUUGAUGACUUGGCCGAUAAGCGGAACAAGCUUCAUUGUUUAGAGGAAGUAAAAGUCGUAACA